CCUACGGGAGGCAGCAGUGGGGAAUUUUGCACAAUGGGGGAAACCCUGAUGCAGCGACGCCGCGUGAGUGAAGAAGUAAUUCGUUAUGUAAAGUUCUAUCAGCAGGGAAGAAAAUGACGGUACCUGUGUAAGAAGCCCCGGCUAACUACGUGCCAGCAGCCGCGGUAAUACGUAGGGGGCAAGCGUUAUCCGGAUUUACUGGGUGUAAAGGGAGCGUAGACGGCAGUGCAAGUCUGGAGUGAAAGGCGGGGGCUCAACCCCCGGACUGCACUGGAUACUGUACGGCUGGAGUGCAGGAGAGGUAAGUGGAAUUCCUAGUGUAGCGGUGAAAUGCGUAGAUAUUAGUAGGAACACCAGUGGCGAAGGCGGCUUACUGGACUAUAACUGACGUUGAGGCUCGAAAGCGUGGGGAGCAAACAGGAUUAGAUACCCUAGUAGUC
This 440-nucleotide ribosomal RNA is filed under the name uncultured bacterium. RNAcentral describes it as "partial 16S ribosomal RNA". It matches the Rfam family "Bacterial small subunit ribosomal RNA", at positions 338 to 795 of the family's 1533-position model. The record is from RNAcentral.